GACGAACGCUGGCGGCGUGCUUAACACAUGCAAGUCGAACGGAAAGGCCCUGCUUUUGUGGGGUGCUCGAGUGGCGAACGGGUGAGUAACACGUGAGUAACCUGCCCUUGACUUUGGGAUAACUUCAGGAAACUGGGGCUAAUACCGGAUAGGAGCUCCUGCUGCAUGGUGGGGGUUGGAAAGUUUCGGCGGUUGGGGAUGGACUCGCGGGUUAUCAGCUUGUUGGUGGGGUAGUGGCUUACCAAGGCUUUGACGGGUAGCCGGCCUGAGAGGGUGACCGGCCACAUUGGGACUGAGAGACGGCCCAGACUCGUACGGGAGGCAGUCGUGGGGAAUAUUGCACAAUGGGCGGAAGCCUGAUGCAGCAACGCCGCGUGUGGGAUGCAGGCCGUCGGGUUGUAAACCGCUUUGGCCUGUGACGAAGCGUGAGUGACGGUAAUGGGUAAAGAAGCACCGGCUAACUACGUG
RNAcentral lists this ribosomal RNA (468 nucleotides) under uncultured bacterium. RNAcentral's name for it is "partial 16S ribosomal RNA". It matches the Rfam family "Bacterial small subunit ribosomal RNA", at positions 28 to 507 of the family's 1533-position model. The record is from RNAcentral.